UUUGAUACUAUGUAAAAAGAAGAUUCCCCAUCACAUCAAACUUGCGGUAUAUGCAUGGAGUACUAAAUGUAGAAAAAAUUAAAAACUAAUUGCACAGUUUUGUUGUACUUUGCGAGACGAAUCUUUUGAGCCUAAUUAGUCAAUGUUUGGACAAUAAUUCACAAAUACAAACGAAACGCUACAGUGUGCUACAGUGCUAGCACAGUGAUUUUGACACUCCAAAAUUGGGCAACUAAACAUGGCCUAGGAUCAACGAUGCCCGAGUAGUCUCCGCUUCUGACUUGGUUACGGAGUUGAUGUUAUAUCCCCC
Molecule: long non-coding RNA, 310 nt
Filed under: Setaria viridis
Lineage: Eukaryota; Viridiplantae; Streptophyta; Magnoliopsida; Poales; Poaceae
Description: long non-coding RNA (SVIR_LNC010811)
Source: RNAcentral